AACGAACGCUGGCGGCAGGCCUAACACAUGCAAGUCGAGCGAACGUAGCAAUACGUGAGCGGCGCACGGGAGAGUAACACGUGGGAACCUACCUUUUGGUUCGGAAUAACGCCGGGAAACUGGCGCUAAUACCGGAUAAGCCCUUCGGGGGAAAGAUUUAUCGCCGGAAGAUGGGCCCGCGUUAGAUUAGCUAGUUGGUGAGGUAACGGCUCACCAAGGCAACGAUCUAUAGCUGGUCUGAGAGGAUGAUCAGCCUCACUGGGACUGAGACACGGCCCAGACUCCUACGGGAGGCAGCAGUGGGGAAUAUUGGACAAUGGGGGAAACCCUGAUCCAGCCAUGCCGCGUGAGUGAUGAAGGCCUUCGGGUUGUAAAGCUCUUUUGGCGGGGACGAUGAUGACGGUACCCGCAGAAUAAGCUCCGGCUAACUUCGUGCCAGCCGCCGCCGUAA
RNAcentral lists this ribosomal RNA (451 nucleotides) under uncultured bacterium. RNAcentral describes it as "partial 16S ribosomal RNA". It matches the Rfam family "Bacterial small subunit ribosomal RNA", at positions 29 to 523 of the family's 1533-position model. The record is from RNAcentral.